This 79-nucleotide transfer RNA is filed under the name endosymbiont 'TC1' of Trimyema compressum. RNAcentral's name for it is "tRNA-OTHER". It matches the Rfam family "tRNA". Rfam says of the family: Transfer RNA (tRNA) molecules are approximately 80 nucleotides in length. The record is from RNAcentral. Lineage: Bacteria; Bacillati; Bacillota.
GAUCCAUUAGCUCAGUCGGCAGAGCACCUGACUUUUUUAAUCAGGGUUGUCCCGCGUUCGAGUCGCGGAUGGAUCACCA